Molecule: ribosomal RNA, 253 nt
Filed under: uncultured bacterium
Lineage: Bacteria
Description: partial 16S ribosomal RNA
Rfam family: Bacterial small subunit ribosomal RNA
Source: RNAcentral
UACAGAGGGUGCGAGCGUUAAUCGGAAUUACUGGGCGUAAAGCGCACGUAGGCGGCUUGGUAUGUCGGGUGUGAAAUCCCCGGGCUCAACCUGGGAACUGCAUCCGAAACUGCCUUGCUAGAGUAUGGGAGAGGGAAGUGGAAUUUCCGGUGUAGCGGUGAAAUGCGUAGAUAUCGGAAGGAAUAUCAGUGGCGAAGGCGACUUCCUGGACCAAUACUGACGCUCAGGUGCGAAAGCGUGGGGAGCAAACAGG